RNAcentral lists this ribosomal RNA (466 nucleotides) under uncultured Sphingobacteriales bacterium. RNAcentral's name for it is "bacterial SSU rRNA". It matches the Rfam family "Bacterial small subunit ribosomal RNA", at positions 915 to 1382 of the family's 1533-position model. Lineage: Bacteria; Pseudomonadati; Bacteroidota; Sphingobacteriia; Sphingobacteriales. The record is from RNAcentral.
GGGGGCCCCGCACAAGCGGUGGAGCAUGUGGUUUAAUUCGAUGAUACGCGAGGAACCUUACCUGGGCUCAAAUGUAUGUUGACGUAUUCUGAAAGGGAUACUUCUUCGGACAAUAUACAAGGUGCUGCAUGGUUGUCGUCAGCUCGUGCCGUGAGGUGUCGGGUUAAGUCCCAUAACGAGCGCAACCCCUAUCAUUAGUUGCCAUCAGGUCAAGCUGGGGACUCUAAUGAAACUGCCUACGCAAGUAGUGAGGAAGGUGGGGAUGACGUCAAAUCAGCACGGCCCUUACGUCCAGGGCUACACACGUGCUACAAUGGCCGGUACAAAGGGCAGCUACCUGGUGACAGGAUGCUAAUCUCAAAAGCCGGUCUCAGUUCGGAUUGCAGUCUGCAACUCGACUGCAUGAAGUUGGAAUCGCUAGUAAUCGCGGAUCAGCCAAGCCGCGGUGAAUACGUUCCCGGGCCUU